UACGAAGGGGGCUAGCGUUGCUCGGAAUCACUGGGCGUAAAGCGCACGUAGGCGGAUCGUUAAGUCAGGGGUGAAAUCCUGGAGCUCAACUCCAGAACUGCCUUUGAUACUGGCGAUCUUGAGUUCGGGAGAGGUGAGUGGAACUGCGAGUGUAGAGGUGAAAUUCGUAGAUAUUCGCAAGAACACCAGUGGCGAAGGCGGCUCACUGGCCCGAUACUGACGCUGAGGUGCGAAAGCGUGGGGAGCAAACAGGG
RNAcentral lists this ribosomal RNA (254 nucleotides) under uncultured bacterium. RNAcentral describes it as "partial 16S ribosomal RNA". It matches the Rfam family "Bacterial small subunit ribosomal RNA", at positions 524 to 777 of the family's 1533-position model. The record is from RNAcentral.